This 60-nucleotide transfer RNA is filed under the name Zootermopsis nevadensis. It matches the Rfam family "tRNA", at positions 7 to 64 of the family's 71-position model. Rfam says of the family: Transfer RNA (tRNA) molecules are approximately 80 nucleotides in length. Their secondary structure includes four short double-helical elements and three loops (D, anti-codon, and T loops). Further hydrogen bonds mediate the characteristic L-shaped molecular structure. tRNAs have two regions of fundamental functional importance: the anti-codon, which is responsible for specific mRNA codon recognition, and the 3' end, to which the tRNAs corresponding amino acid is attached (by aminoacyl-tRNA synthetases). tRNAs cope with the degeneracy of the genetic code in two manners: having more than one tRNA (with a specific anti-codon) for a particular amino acid; and 'wobble' base-pairing, i.e. permitting non-standard base-pairing at the 3rd anti-codon position. Lineage: Eukaryota; Metazoa; Arthropoda; Insecta; Blattodea; Termopsidae. The record is from Rfam by way of RNAcentral.
GUGGUCUAGCGGUUAGAACGCUGGCCUUGUAAUCCUGGGAUAUCGGGUUCGAUUCCCGAC